RNAcentral lists this ribosomal RNA (253 nucleotides) under uncultured bacterium. Its description in RNAcentral is "partial 16S ribosomal RNA". It matches the Rfam family "Bacterial small subunit ribosomal RNA", at positions 524 to 776 of the family's 1533-position model. The record is from RNAcentral.
UACGGAGGGUGCGAGCGUUGUCCGGAAUCACUGGGCGUAAAGGGCGCGUAGGCGGCCUGAUAAGUAGGGGGUGAAAUCCUGCGGCUUAACCGCAGGGCUGCCCUCUAAACUGUCAGGCUUGAGCACAGUAGAGGCAGGUGGAAUUCCCGGUGUAGCGGUGGAAUGCGUAGAGAUCGGGAAGAACAUCAGUGGCGAAGGCGGCCUGCUGGGCUGUUGCUGACGCUGAGGCGCGACAGCGUGGGGAGCAAACAGG